UCCUUGGAUGUCUUCACAUCCACCCAUGGAUACCAAAAAAAAAUAU
Molecule: non-coding RNA, 46 nt
Organism: Triticum aestivum (bread wheat)
Lineage: Eukaryota; Viridiplantae; Streptophyta; Magnoliopsida; Poales; Poaceae
Source: Rfam